This 265-nucleotide long non-coding RNA is filed under the name Eucalyptus grandis. Its description in RNAcentral is "long non-coding RNA (EGRA_LNC006648)". Lineage: Eukaryota; Viridiplantae; Streptophyta; Magnoliopsida; Myrtales; Myrtaceae. The record is from RNAcentral.
GCUUGGGAGAGCCCGCGCCCAAUCAUGGGCCUUAGGCUCGUCUUUUAGGCAAUACCCCUAAACCUGUUCCCUCCCCCCGAGGGUAGGUCGCGACAGCUUGGCGACUCCGCUGGGGACUUGGUUUUGAACUUUAGAGGACUUAGGCCAAAAUUAAUCUUGUUCAAAAAAAUAUUUUUGUUUGGCAACGAGGAUUCCAGGUACGUCCCUAACAUUAAAGGUGUUAAAUGUUUUUGCAGAAUGGGAGGUAUAAGGGGAAGUGUUUGCU